GCGCAGAUAUCAGGAGGAACACCGAUGGCGAAGGCAGGUCUCUGGGCUGUAACUGACGCUGAGAAGCGAAAGCAUGGGGAGCGAACAGGAUUAGAUACCCUGGUAGUCCAUGCCGUAAACGUUGGGCACUAGGUGUGGGGAACAUUCCACGUUUUCCGCGCCGUAGCUAACGCAUUAAGUGCCCCGCCUGGGGAGUACGGCCGCAAGGCUAAAACUCAAAGGAAUUGACGGGGGCCCGCACAAGCGGCGGAGCAUGCGGAUUAAUUCGAUGCAACGCGAAGAACCUUACCAAGGCUUGACAUGC
This 304-nucleotide ribosomal RNA is filed under the name uncultured bacterium. RNAcentral describes it as "bacterial SSU rRNA". It matches the Rfam family "Bacterial small subunit ribosomal RNA", at positions 688 to 989 of the family's 1533-position model. The record is from RNAcentral.